GAUGAACGCUAGCGGCAGGCCUAAUACAUGCCAGUCGGACGGGAUUCAGGAGCUUGCUUCUGAUGAGAGUGGCGCACGGGUGCGUAACACGUAUGUAACCUACCUUUAUCAGGGGGAUAGCCUCUCGAAAGAGAGAUUAAGCCCGCAUAAAAUCACAGCACAGCAUUGUGUAAUGAUCAAAUAUUUAUAGGAUAAAGAUGGGCAUGCGGAACAUUAGCUAGAUGGCGGGGUAACGGCCCACCAUGGCGACGAUGUUUAGGGGAUCUGAGAGGAUGGCCCCCCACACUGGUACUGAGACACGGACCAGACUCCUACGGGAGGCAGCAGUAAGGAAUAUUGGUCAAUGGGCGGAAGCCUGAACCAGCCAUGCCGCGUGCAGGAAGACGGCCCUACGGGUUGUAAACUGCUUUUAGACGGGAAUAAACCCAGAUACGUGUAUCUGGCUGAAUGUACUGUAAGAAUAAGGAUCGGCUAACUCCGUG
This 482-nucleotide ribosomal RNA is filed under the name uncultured bacterium. RNAcentral describes it as "partial 16S ribosomal RNA". It matches the Rfam family "Bacterial small subunit ribosomal RNA", at positions 28 to 507 of the family's 1533-position model. The record is from RNAcentral.